UAUAUCUUAAUUGCUAGGUGUUGAAUGAAUUUCUCCUCAUCUGCUUCCUCAUUAGCUUUAAGCUACCAUAUAAUUAUAUUUGAAUGAAGCAAUGUACCGUUGGUGGGAUUCACGCUCACUGCGGUGCACGGCUUUUAUUGCUUUAUGGCCAACGUUCUUCAGUUUUCUUUGUUUUUCUUCCACAGAACAAGAACAGAUGAGCAGUAACUUCAUCAGGGCAGCGUUGACACCAUUCCUCAGGAGGAAAACCUGUUCUGCGAGAACGUCACACAGCGUCUAUUGUUUGAAUAAAGAAAACUUCAAUUUCAGUCCCCUGAAAAUGCGGCUUUCAAGUUUAGCUGGGGAGAAAAUCAUUAGUUCUUCAGACGCCAUCUUGAGCAGAAUGCCCUGCCCUGUAGUCCUCCUCCUGUCUAUUUAGAUGUCACAUGCCUUUCUCGAUGAACUAAAUGAGACUCGAUGAGUUCCUAC
Molecule: non-coding RNA, 468 nt
Organism: Poecilia reticulata (guppy)
Lineage: Eukaryota; Metazoa; Chordata; Actinopteri; Cyprinodontiformes; Poeciliidae
Source: RefSeq, a predicted model, not a curated record